Molecule: long non-coding RNA, 1614 nt
Organism: Labeo rohita (rohu)
Lineage: Eukaryota; Metazoa; Chordata; Actinopteri; Cypriniformes; Cyprinidae
Exons: 2
Source: RefSeq, a predicted model, not a curated record
AGCAUAUGUGAAUAUUAAGUAGACCUAUUGUUUAAAUCAAAUUUAUGGUUUAAAAGUAGAGUAAUCAUAGCAGUUUUCAUCCAUAAUAUGUCCGUUUAAACAGCAGAUUAGAGUUUCACUUAUCCAAAGAUGUUCUGAGGGCAGAAAGGAAAAUGAUUGGUUCACAGAUUGACCCAAUGAAAAUACGGCAGAGGCGGGGCCUAGGCUUUUUGAAAUGUGGAGGAAAAAGUUCGCAGACUUAGCACAGAUACUUUGGAGACUUCGUGGGAUUGAUUGCUGUUGUAAGUUACCUGGAGGAGUUGCAAAAUCUGGACAAAUCAAAGGAGCUAACACUGAAGAUCUGAUACUGCCGAGUCCAAAAUGGUGCAAAAAUGGAGAUGUAUGAAAAACGGUGUAAGUUUGGAUCCACCUGAUAAAAGCACAUAAUAGCCAGAUUCAGUCGGUAACUGUUAAUUAUGGGGAUGCAAGCGAUUUUCAACAUUUACAGGGCCAUCCGAAUCCAGAAUGUUGGUGUUUUUCUCCCACCACCCUCGAAAUUCCCAGCGAAAUUACAUGCUGUUUUUUAGGCACCAAAGUUGUGUGGUCGAAGAAAUCGAUUCAAAAUGAACAACAAAAAUAUUUCAUAACUUCUCCAGCACAGCGGAUAGGAGCUGUUAAGAACAAAAAGACAAGAAAAGUACUUAAACAUUUUAAAUUAGUCAUUAUAAUGGCAGUAAUAUGUAUGCAAUAAAAUUUUAAAAUAUAGGCCUACAAUUACAUACAUAAAAAUAUAAACCAAGCAGCCUUGUCAUUAUAGUCCCUCAUGUCCGCUGCGUUCUCAAAACUUUGAAAAUACCCAAAAUAUCAAAAUCAACUGUGGCGGCAGAUAAUUUUCUUAUUUAGCGCCCACACUCUGGAACAAUCUACCCAACACUGUUCAGGAGGCAGACACACUCUGUCAGUUUAAAUCUAGAUUAAAGACCCAUCUCUUUAACCCGGCCAACACAACACAUUAACACAUUUCUAUAAUUCAAGUCCAUUAAAGGAUGGUUAGGCUGCAUUAAUUAGGUCAACCGGAACCGGGAAUAAUUUUCCAUAACACCUGAUGUACUCAUUGCAUCGUAAGAAGAAUGGCAUCUACACUAAUAUUAGUCUGUUUCUUUCUUAUUCCAAGGUCACCAGAUGAUGGAUCAGCACCUAGAGAUGACCUCUACCUCCCUAAAUGUCCUAAAUGAGUCCUCUGCAAUCUGACUUUGCUGCAACAUGGAACUUUUGCAUUAUUGACACACUAUUGUCCUAUUUAAAAACUGUGAAGUUGCUUUGACACAACCUGUUUUGUUAAAAAGCGCUGUAUAAAUAAACGUGAUUGAUUUACCUCAUGUAAAUAAGAGGUUGCAUGCAACUUAUUUCUGCUAAUCUUCACAUUUCUCAUGACACCUAUCAUUUGGAGAGAUAAAAUUUAAGAAAACCAUUUCAGCUAUAGUGGGUCUAUUUUUGAACUUGAGAUUUAAAUAAACAACAUAUUAUUAAAUUUAAAUUUAUUCUUAAUCCAAACAUGUGACAUUUAAUUUAUAGCAGACAACUAUGCAACAGGCCAUAUGAGCAGUGCAUUCCUGGGUUCAUAUGAUCACACUG